UAACACCUGGGAAACAGAUGCUAAAUACCGGAUAAUAACAGAUGAUGCCUAUCAACUGUUUAAAGAUGGUUCUGCUAUCACUCUUGGAUGGACCUGCGGUGCAUUAGCUAGUUGGUAGGGUAACGGCCUACCAAGGGCGAUGAUGCAUAGCCCGAGUUGAGAGACUGAUCGGCCACAUUGGGGACUGAGACACGGCCCAAACUCCUACGAGAGGCAGCAGUAGGGAAUCUUCCACAAUGGACGCAAGUCUGAUGGAGCAAACGCCGCGUGAGUGAAGAAGGGUUUCGGCUCGUAAAAAGCUCUGUUGUUGGUGAAGAAGGACAGGGGUAGUAACUGACCCUUUGUUUGACGGUAAUCAAUUAGAAAGUCACGGGCUAACUACGUGCCAGCAGCCGCGGUAAAU
RNAcentral lists this ribosomal RNA (403 nucleotides) under uncultured Lactobacillus sp. Its description in RNAcentral is "bacterial SSU rRNA". It matches the Rfam family "Bacterial small subunit ribosomal RNA", at positions 144 to 525 of the family's 1533-position model. The record is from RNAcentral. Lineage: Bacteria; Bacillati; Bacillota; Bacilli; Lactobacillales; Lactobacillaceae.